GAUGAACGCUGGCGGCGUGCCUAACACAUGCAAGUCGAACGGGGUUCUAUGUCGGAAGUUUUCGGAUGGAAGAGAUAGAACCCAGUGGCGGACGGGUGAGUAACACGUGGGUAACCUGCCUCAUAGAGGGGGAUAACAGAGAGAAAUCACUGCUAAUACCGCAUAAGCACACGGGAUCGCAUGAUCCAGGGUGAAAAGAUUUAUCGCUAUGAGAUGGACUCGCGUCUGAUUAGCUGGUUGGCGGGGUAAAGGCCCACCAAGGCGACGAUCAGUAGCCGAUCUGAGAGGAUGGCCGGCCACAUUGGGACUGAGACACGGCCCAGACUCCUACGGGAGGCAGCAGUGGGGGAUAUUGCACAAUGGAGGGAACUCUGAUGCAGCAACGCCGCGUGAGUGAAGAAGUAUUUCGGUAUGUAAAGCUCUAUCAGCAGGGAAGAUAAUGACAGUACCUGAAUAAGAAGCCCCGGCUAACUACGUGCCAGCAGCCGCGGUAAUACGUAGGGGGCAAGCGUUAUCCGGAUUUACUGGGUGUAAAGGGAGCGUAGACGGCGAAGCAAGUCUGAAGUGAAAAUCCGGGGCUCAACUCCGGAAGUGCUUUGGAAACUGUUUUGAUAGAGUGUCGGAGAGGUAAGUGGAAUUCCUGGUGUAGCGGUGAAAUGCGUAGAUAUCAGGAAGAACACCGGAGGCGAAAGCGGCUUACUGGACGAUAACUGACGUUGAGGCUCGAAAGCGUGGGAAGCAAACAGG
RNAcentral lists this ribosomal RNA (747 nucleotides) under uncultured Oribacterium sp. Its description in RNAcentral is "bacterial SSU rRNA". It matches the Rfam family "Bacterial small subunit ribosomal RNA", at positions 28 to 776 of the family's 1533-position model. Lineage: Bacteria; Bacillati; Bacillota; Clostridia; Lachnospirales; Lachnospiraceae. The record is from RNAcentral.